Molecule: ribosomal RNA, 206 nt
Filed under: uncultured bacterium
Lineage: Bacteria
Description: partial 16S ribosomal RNA
Rfam family: Bacterial small subunit ribosomal RNA
Source: RNAcentral
CGUGUAGGUGGUACUGUAAGUAGGGCGUGAAAGCUCCUGGCUCAACUGGGAGAGGCCGUUCUAAACUACAGAACUAGAGGAUGGUAGAGGGAGGUGGAAUUCCAGGUGUAGCGGUGAAAUGCGUAGAUAUCUGGAGGAACACCGGUGGCGAAGGCGGCGUCCUGGACCAACACUGACACUGAUGAGCGAAAGCCAGGGGAGCAAAC